This 4814-nucleotide long non-coding RNA is filed under the name Olea europaea subsp. europaea. Lineage: Eukaryota; Viridiplantae; Streptophyta; Magnoliopsida; Lamiales; Oleaceae. The record is from RNAcentral.
UGUAGGUUNGUCCGCGGGUACUGGGUUUAAUGGGUUUAACUCAUCCCCUUUCUUAAACGUCAAGUCGGCAUCGCCGAUGUAACGCGGGCACAGAAAUGCUGCAACUGGCCGCAUCAUUCCAUCCCAGCCUUAUUCAACCUCGCCUCUCACCGGAAUUCCAUCGCCGACACUCUCUCCAGCAAACUUCAAACGCAAAAGAAUUAACCCUACUCCACGCUCAACCCAUUUUCACUUCAACAACCCUUUCCAACAACAAUCAGAGCAGUAUCUAUAACAAUGAAAAACUCGUUAAGAAGGCUCUCUUUUCUUACAAUACCAUUAUCAAAUGCUUCCUUCAAAACCGUCGCUCUCAGGAUGCUCUUGUGGUUUUUGUGGAUUUGCUUUGUUGUCCGGGGAUGUUGCCAGACGAGUUCACGUUACCGUGUGUGAUCAAGGCGUGUGCGAAUCUAAGGACUAUUAAGGAAGGGAAAAUGAUUCAUGGGUUGGCGUUGAAACUCGGUUUUGGGUCUGGUUCGGGUGUUCAUGUGGAGAGUAGUUUGGUGAGUUUGUAUUCAAAAUGUGGUGAUAUUGAUUCUGCACGGAAAGUUUUUGAUAAAAUGCUUGUGAAGGAUUUGGUUUCAUGGAAUGUGUUGUUGGAUGGUUACGUAAAGUGUGGUGGGGAGAAUAUUGAGGUUAUUCUGAGACUGUUUGAUGAGAUGCCCGAAAAGGAUGCCUUCUCAUGUACUGUGUUGAUUGAUGGGUUGGCCAAGAGUGGAAGAGUUGACGAAGCAAGAGAGGUGUUUGAUAGUAUGUUGGAUAAGAAUGUGGCUUCAUGGAAUGCAAUGAUUUAUGGGUAUAUGAAGUAUGGAAACUAUAAACUCGCAGGUGAUUUGUUUGAUAGAAUGGACGAGAGAAAUAUAAUCACUUGGAAUUCGAUAAUUUCUGGGUAUGAAUUAAAUGGUAAGUUUCUGGAAGCUCUGCGAAUGUUUCAGGUGAUGUUGGAUAAGGGCCUCAAGGCUAAUGAUGUGACGAUAGUUAGUGUACUUUCUGCAAUUUCGAAGUUGGCUUCGCUUAGUAAAGGUAGGUGGGUGCAUUCGUAUAUGUCAAAAGCUGGGUAUAGAUUAGAUGGUGUACUUGGUAUAUCUUUGAUAGAAAUGUACUCCAAGUGUGGGAGCAUUGAGAGUGCUUUGAUGGUUUUUCGAGGAAUAUCCAAGAAGAAGCUGGGGCAUUGGACAGCCAUUAUUGUAGGAUUGGGGAUGCAUGGUAUGGCUCCUGAUGCAACUGACUUGUUUCUUGAAAUGCAAAGGAAUGGAAUUAAGCCUAAUGCCAUUACAUUUGUUGGAGUCUUGAAUGCUUGUAGUCAUGUGGGAAUGGUGGAUGAUGGUCGGCGUUAUUUUUCUAUGAUGAAAAAUGAGUAUGGAAUAGAACAAACUGUUGAGCACUAUGGUUGCUUGGUGGACAUUCUUUGUCGAGCUGGUCAUCUUGAUGAGGCAAAGAGUACCAUUGAAAAGAUGCCUAUGAAGCCAAGCAAGAUAAUAUGGAUGACUUUACUUAGCAGUGCAAGAAAUUAUAGAAACAUUGAUAUUGGUGAAUAUGCAGCAAAGAACUUGAUCGAGUUAGCUCCUGAAACUGUUCAGUGCUAUGUACUCCUUUCUAAUAUGUAUGCUGUUGCAGGACAGUGGGAAAAAGUUUCGCUGGUUAGAGAAAUGAUGAAGAGGAGAGGGUUUAAGAAAGAACCAGGGUGUAGUUCAAUUGAACACAAGGGUGUGCUUCAUGAAUUCAUGGUAGGAGACAAAUCCCAUCCUCAAUCUGAAUUGAUAUAUUCGAAAUUGAGUGAGAUGAAGAAUAAGUUGAGACUAGCGGGACAUGUUCCUGAUACGACUCAAGUAUUAUUAUUUGUUGAAGGGGAGAAAGAGAAACAAGCUGAACUGGAAAACCAUAGUGAGAGGUUGGCUAUCGCAUUCGGCCUUAUAAACGUUGACCGAAAAAAUCACAUUCGUGUGGUGAAGAACCUUAGAGUUUGUAACGACUGCCAUUCUGUGAUGAAGUUUCUGUCCAAGAUCUAUGAACGUGUAAUUAUUGUGAGAGAUAAUAGCAGGUUCCAUCAUUUCAAAAAUGGGUCAUGUUCAUGCAACGACUAUUGGUGAUUGAGAAUUAUGCUGUCUCACAUUAAGGUCUUGUUUCAGUUUGUUCAACUAAUAACAUGAUGGAGACCCAACCAUCACUCCCAAAAGCACAGGUUUGAGGGUGAUUGAAUCUCACAACUAUUAGGCCCUAACAAUACCCAAUGGCCCCAAAUCUGACGGCCACAGCGGCCCAAUCCAUGACCUUUGCUUUACGUGGCCGGCCAUUAUUUGACUGCCGGUAUUUGGCACUUAGUUUUGGUCGCCCCUUCCGGAAUUCGAACUUGUGGCUUGGGUCUACUCUGAUACCAAUUGAUGGAGACCCAACCAUCUCUCCCAAAAGCCCAGGCUUGAGGGUGAUUGAAUUCCACAACUAUUAGAUCCUAACAUGACAUUAGGAUUGUGUUUUAGCUAUACCCCCAAUUAGGAGAGCUAGUCUUUUGGCUGUACGCAAAAUCUUCACAUGGUGGAUGUAUGUCCUGAGAUACGGUCCAGUACAUUAUGCAAUUUCUCAGACCUUGGAGGAUUCAUGCUUGCGCCUUUUUCGUCCUUACAGCAUAACCAGUGUAAUUUUCUUUUUGUUGCCAUAUGCUUUUUAUUUUUAUAUGUCACCUACACUACAAUUCCUUGUGCUGUCUGCUAGUCAUUUAUUUACUUCACUUUUUCUUUUCUGUGGAUGCAUGCCCUCAUUACUAGAAAUGCGAGGUCUUUUAUUCUGUUUUCAAACAUUAAGAGUCAUAAUCAAUCCUAUUUCAGGCCUCAAUUUUUAUUUGAUAGAAUUAUUAAUCUUAAUGUCAUGGUAAUUGCUUUGUCAAUUAGCAUCUAUAUCUCAUGUGCUUCCUGUACAUGGCAGGCACAUGGUUUCAUGUACUGAUUAUCAUAUAUGGAGAUUGCUUACAGAACUAUAAAUUUGUGUUCCAUACAGUGAAGUUCACUGAAACAUGAUCUUGGAGUGCACAAUCGGUGUCAUUAUUGGAAACCUUGACUGAAAAAUCUUGUCAUCUUAUUAAUAUGGUUAAAACUUAAAUACUUCAUCAAUUGUCAAUUAGUGAAAAUGAACAGUUCAAAAUUUAAAAUAUGAGCUGGUGCAUGGGAAUUAUAGCUUACUAUCAAAGACUUCCACUCCAUUAGACCCAGGAUAUUGAGCCCUGUUUGGGCCCCGUUUUUGGAGAAUGGAUUUUGUAAAAAGUGUUUUUUUUUUUUUUAAAAUGAGUUUGGGUAAAAAUGAGUUUUAAAGAAUGGGGCUCAAAUGGGUGCUGAUAAUUUUUAAUUAAUCAAUUUGCUUUCUUGCCAUCAGAUUGCGCAAGAGAGGCAAAUAUUUCCAAAAAGGGAAAGGACACAUCUAAUUCGUACAUUAGAAGUACUAGACAUGGAUGAUAUACAAUCAUAUUAUAAUGAAACAUAAAGUUUCCGAGCAAUUGCUUCGAAAUAUAAUGAGUUUUGAUGCACAUUGAUGUUUAUUGAACUUGUUAAAUUCAUUCCUUUUGCCAUAUUAUGUCUUGGAAUGAUUGUUAUUUGCUUAUAUUCAUAUUAUUAGGUGAUGAAUUUGGUCAGUAAUUCUCUCUAUUGUGUGCCUUGGCAGUUUUGAAUUCAAUUAUUUCAAGAACUUCCAUGUCAUGUCGCCUGCACCUUUUCCAUUGUAGCAUGUAUUGUUGGAGUGAUUAUCGUUCUUUUUCUUGUUCUGACACUGACCAAGCAGCCUCUAACUUUGUCUCACUUUCACAUGACAAUCUUCUAUGAAAUAAAUGAAUGCAUUUUAUGGAGUCCGUUACUGUUUGCAUGCUGGGGAAAAAAGAAGAUGCAUCCUUAUGGUUAUAGUGCUAUGUUAUCACAUAAUCCAAAAAUGUUGUCAAUCUUCCUUACUGCAAAUUUCACUAAUUGUGAACAAAAAUGCAUGAGUCCAUUGGUCUUCAUUGCAGGUGUCAUUUUACUGAUUUCAGUUGAGACCCAUAUAUUAGGGAGGAUGAGCUUUUUUAGAAUGAGGGAAGGAAAGAUAGAAGCCUAUUAAUACUCCUGAUAAUGACGUUAUUCAAGAUGACUCCUAUGAGGUAAGUGACUUUGUUAACCCCAAUUGUUCCAUAUUUACAUUUAUUGCACUUUGCAAGAGCUAAGUGUUUGGGAAGAUUGCCCAUGAUAAUAAAAAUAUUAAAACUUGGACAAAGUAUUCACUUAAGAAAUAAUGUGGCUCUACUAUAAAAUAACAACAAUGGAUUACAAGAUAAGUUUCAAAUAUGAGUUACAAAGUAUCUCAAACUUUCUAUUUCUCUCAAAAACAAACUUUUAUCUUUCUCAAAUCCUCACUUAGUGCUCAAUUGUUUUUGGCACUCACUUAUUAAACACAUAUAUAGUAUGAACACAUCCUGAGGCCUAUUUAUAGAUUUUUUAAGUUAGUUUGCCACUUGACAAUACAACUUGCAUUUCUCAUUUAGAAGAUUAAAAAUCAAACAUGAAUUUGACCAAUCAAUAAGCAUUUUUCCAUAAACAUCUGCCUAUCAUGUAUAAAAACAUUGUAACACUCUUUAUAGAACUCUGCCUAUCAUAUCCAUCUGCAAUGAGUGCAUAUUUUUCAUUAUUUUACAGAAUUCGUUAUUUAAUCUCUGCAAGAAAACUAAAAAUAGGGUCAACAAAGUUUUGGUCUGAAGCAACACGACACUAAAGAAUUGUCCAGGUUCUUCAAAAAAUUGGAUGACCUGUCUCAAUUAAAGCUCUGUU